AUAGCGUAUAUUAAAGUUGUUGCAGUUAAAAAGCUCGUAGUUGAACUUCAGCCCUGGCCGGGCGGUCUGCCUCACGGUAUGUACUGUCUGGCUGGGGCUUACCUCUUGGUGAGCUUGCAUGUCGUUUACUCGGUGUGCAAGGGAACCAGGACUUUUACUUUGAGAAAAUUAGAGUGUUCAAAGCAGGCAAAUGCCCGAAUACAUUAGCAUGGAAUAAUGGAAUAGGACGUGCGGUUCUAUUUUGUUGGUUUCUAGAGUCGCCGUAAUGAUUAAUAGGGACAGUUGGGGGCAUUAGUAUUGAGUUGCUAGAGGUGAAAUUCUUGGAUUUACUCAAGACUAACUUCUG
Molecule: ribosomal RNA, 346 nt
Filed under: uncultured eukaryote
Lineage: Eukaryota
Description: SSU rRNA
Rfam family: Eukaryotic small subunit ribosomal RNA
Source: RNAcentral